GCUUACGGCCAUACAAACCUGGCCAUGCCCAAUCUCGUUUGAUCUCGGAAGCUCAGCAGGUUUGGGCCUGGUUAGUACUUGGAUGGGAGACCGCCUAGGAAUACCAGGUGCUGUAAGCU
Molecule: ribosomal RNA, 119 nt
Organism: Carassius auratus (goldfish)
Lineage: Eukaryota; Metazoa; Chordata; Actinopteri; Cypriniformes; Cyprinidae
Source: Ensembl